Long non-coding RNA from Dreissena polymorpha, 486 nucleotides. RefSeq lists it as uncharacterized. The transcript has 3 exons. The record is from RefSeq and is a predicted model, not a curated record. Lineage: Eukaryota; Metazoa; Mollusca; Bivalvia; Myida; Dreissenidae.
AAACGAUUUAAUGCUGAAAAGUGUGACGCAGGUGAGGAUAGUGUACUUAGAAGUAAAAUACAUGUGUUCUAGUGGACGAUAAUUGAUUGCCCGCAACAGUCUGAGUGGAAACUGGAUAGCUAUUUUGAUAUGACGCUGAACAAGACGUGGCUGUCAGGAUCAAAACAAUACGGACGUCUGCCCCGAUACACAUUGAAAACGUUGAAAAGUCCAUAGGUUCAGUAUGCCAAAACGAAAAUCAUGCUAAAGCAAUACACAUGGUCCUUCUGCGCAUACCAAAAACCGAGAUGAACAUGUACCAGAGUAACCAGACAUAUCCUUGAGCGUUGUUCAUGUAGACAAUUUGUCCAUCAGUGAGGGCUUUCGCUUGUUCCUUUCUACAAAUUGUUAGUGCUUUCAAGUCUUUAGUGAUUGCCUACCAUUUAAGAACUCAAAAUAAUUUAUCUCAGACAUAUUUGAAUUAUUCAUUGGCAAUGUGCCCUUCAA